UUUCCGUAGGUGAACCUGCGGAAGGAUCAUUAAAGAGUAAUGGUCUUGGGGCCCUAUCUCCAACCCUUUGUUCAACUACCAUGUUGCUUUGGCGGGCCCGUCUCACGAGCGACGGAAGUUUGGCUACGACCAAACUUAUGAUCCGUGCCCUUCUGUAGCCCCUUCAAAUUAUUGAUCAAGUAUGAUGUCUUAGUUAAAAACUUAAUAGUUAAAACUUUCAACAACGGACCUCUUGGUUCUG
This 241-nucleotide unclassified non-coding RNA is filed under the name plant metagenome. Its description in RNAcentral is "partial contains small subunit ribosomal RNA, internal transcribed spacer 1, and 5.8S ribosomal RNA". The record is from RNAcentral.